Molecule: unclassified non-coding RNA, 279 nt
Filed under: uncultured fungus
Lineage: Eukaryota; Fungi
Description: sequence contains ITS2
Rfam family: 5.8S ribosomal RNA (bases 1-52)
Source: RNAcentral
AACGCACCUUGCGCUCCUUGGUAUUCCGAGGAGCAUGUCUGUUUGAGCGUCACGUUAAUACUUCACCCCUCCUUGACAUUCUUGGAGGUGAGUGGACUUGGACCUGUGCCGUCUAUCGGCUCGUCCUGAAAUGCAUUGGCCCCUUCACGAGGCUGACCUGUGUGGUGUGAUAAUAUCAGCGCCGCUGGAGGAUCGGCUCUCUGGGGACCUCAAACCCGUCCCUCCGGACGAACCUUGACAUUUGACCUCAAAUCAGAUAGGACUACCCGCUGAACUUAA